UGGGGAAUUUUGGACAAUGGGCGCAAGCCUGAUCCAGCAAUGCCGCGUGCAGGAUGAAGGCCUUCGGGUUGUAAACUGCUUUUGUACGGAACGAAACGGCGAGCUCUAAUACAGUUUGCUAAUGACGGUACCGUAAGAAUAAGCACCGGCUAACUACGUGCCAGCAGCCGCGGUAAUACGUAGGGUGCAAGCGUUAAUCGGAAUUACUGGGCGUAAAGCGUGCGCAGGCGGUUAUGUAAGACAGAUGUGAAAUCCCCGGGCUUAACCUGGGAACUGCAUUUGUGACUGCAUAGCUAGAGUACGGUAGAGGGGGAUGGAAUUCCGCGUGUAGCAGUGAAAUGCGUAGAUAUGCGGAGGAACACCGAUGGCGAAGGCAAUCCCCUGGACCUGUACUGACGCUCAUGCACGAAAGCGUGGGGAGCAAACAGGAUUAGAUACCCUGGUAGUCCACGCCCUAAACGAUGUCAACUGGUUGUUGGGAGGGUUUCUUCUCAGUAACGUAGCUAACGCGUGAAGUUGGCCGCCUGGGGAGUACGGCCGCAAGGUUG
Molecule: ribosomal RNA, 548 nt
Filed under: uncultured bacterium
Lineage: Bacteria
Description: bacterial SSU rRNA
Rfam family: Bacterial small subunit ribosomal RNA
Source: RNAcentral